RNAcentral lists this ribosomal RNA (1737 nucleotides) under Triticum aestivum (bread wheat). RNAcentral's name for it is "partial small subunit ribosomal RNA". Lineage: Eukaryota; Viridiplantae; Streptophyta; Magnoliopsida; Poales; Poaceae. The record is from RNAcentral.
AUGGGGUUUGGAGGAAAUAGUGGGUAUUUUGCUCCUAUCAGUGCACCUUUAUUCUCUCGUCCUCAUACUUACAAUCCUGUCACUGGUCAAUACAUUAAUAUGACAACAACUGCUCAAGGAGUUUCUCCUGUGUAUCAAGCAGUAGGGAACUUGUAUGAUAUGCAGAGAAAUCAAUAUGCAACUCAGCUAGGUGGUCCUUCUUAUUUUGCUAAGGCAGUGUUAAAAGGACCCAGGUUGGAAAUCCCUUUAUUCAGUGGAGAUGAUCCUAUAGGCUGGUUAAUUGCUUGUGAAAAGUUCUUUGACAUGUCUGGAACACCAUAUGAGCAGUGGGUAAAUCUAGCAACAUGUCAUUUGCAAGGAAGAGCAUCCAAUUGGUUGAAAAACAUCUGUGUGCCAUGCCAAAUGGUCACCUGGCAACAAUUUUGUCAGAUGUUAGCUGAUAGAUUUUCAGAAGCAAGUGUGCAUGAAGCUGUGGAAUUACUGAAAAACAUACAGCAAACUAAUAUAGUGGCACAAUAUAUUGACAACUUUGAACAGUGUGUGGCUUUGGUUAAAAGAGACCAUCCUUGUCUACAAGAAAAUUUCCUGCUAAGUUGUUUCAUUGGGGGGUUGAGAAGUGAUAUUAAACAUGGGGUGUGUGGACAAAAGCCUACUGGUAUUAUAGAAGCAUAUUGGUAUGCUAAGGUUUAUGAAAAAGCUGCAGCAGCAAGAAAAGUACAAAACACACCAGUAUAUAAGUCCAGGCCAUACCAAAACCCUCAUAGAAACUCUGGCAAUCCUAUGCAAGUGCAAAUUCCUUCCCAAGAGAAAUACAAUGUGCCAUUUCCUAAAGAUGCAAGGGCUUGUUGGUAUUGCAGAGAACCAUGGUCCAGGCAACACAAAUGUAAAAUUGGGAAGACAAUCCACAUCUUGCAAGAAAUAGAGGAUGAGGAAGAUAGUGACAAUACUGAGGACAAUGCUAGCCAAGAACAAGUGUAUCAUACAGCUCCAAAUACUCCGGACAAAGAGAAACAAAGUGAAGGGACUGUAGAGAAACAUGCACAAGCUAUGCAUAUUACAGUGCAUGCAGUAGAAGGAACUCCUGGUGCAAACACCUUCUCCUUGAUCAUAGAAAUUGCAGGCAAAAGGGCUACAAUUUUGUUUGAUAGUGGCUCUUCAGACACAUUCAUUAGCACUGAAUUUGCUAUUAGCAGCAAUUGCCACCAGCAAGCAAUGCAACCAAGGAAAGUGACAGUUGCUGGGGGAGGAAAACUAAUAGCAAAAUCCAAAGUUCCAGAUAUGAAUUUUAGCAUUCAAGGUCACACUUUCUGCAGCAGUUUCAAGGUGUUGGAUUUACAGGCCUAUGAUAUAAUCCUGGGGGCUGAUUGGAUAUAUCAGUACGGUCCUAUUUGCUUGGAUUUGGUGGAAAGAAUCUUAAUUGUCACAAAACAAGGACAACCAGUGACACUCUUUGACCACUCCAUCCCCAAAAAGAAGUGUAUUGUGUCUGCAAUGAGGAUGGAAAAACUUCUAAAGAAAGGAGUAAUGGGAUAUAUACUGCAAAUUCAAGAGAUGCAAACUGAAAAUAAUACAAAAACCCCUUCAGCACCAGCAGCUCUCAAACCUCUAUUACAGAAAUAUGCAGAGAUAUUUCAAGAGUCAGAGAAGCUUCCUCCACAAAGAAAAUGUGACCACAAGAUUGUGUUGCAAGAAGGAGCAAAACCUCCUAAUUUGAGGCCCUAUAGAGUACCACACUAA